AUUGAACGCUGGCGGCAGGCCUAACACAUGCAAGUCGAGCGAGCGGCGGACGGGUGUGUAAUGUGUGUGGAUCUGCCCGAUAGCGGGGGAUACCUACUGGAAACGGUUGCUAAUACCGCAUACUAUCGGAUGUACCCAUAUGGGAUUAGCUAGUAGGUGGGGUAAAGGCUCACCUAGCGGACGAUCUCUAGCUGGUCUGAGAGGAUGACCGGGCAAACUGGGAAUGAGGCACGGAGCAGACUCCGACGUGCGGCAGCAGGGGAGAAUAGUGCGCAAUGGGAGCAAGCCAGAUGCAGCCAUGCCGCGUGGAUGAAGAAGGCAUUAAGGUUGUAAAGUACUUAAAGCGUUGAGGCGUUACCCGCAGAAGAAGCACCGGCUAACGCCGUGCCAGCAGCCGCGGUAAUUC
Molecule: ribosomal RNA, 406 nt
Filed under: uncultured bacterium
Lineage: Bacteria
Description: partial 16S ribosomal RNA
Rfam family: Bacterial small subunit ribosomal RNA
Source: RNAcentral